Long non-coding RNA from Mus musculus (house mouse), 3889 nucleotides. RefSeq annotates it as predicted gene, 40444. Lineage: Eukaryota; Metazoa; Chordata; Mammalia; Rodentia; Muridae. The record is from RefSeq and is a predicted model, not a curated record. The transcript has 3 exons.
AGGCUCGGGAAGGCUCAGCUAUCCAUCUUAGGGGCCAUGGUGAGGUCCCAUGGUUCAUGGAGCUAAAACAGGACAAUGAGAGGAUCCCCAUUUCCAAGCUGGGCCAUCUGGUCAAGAACACGAAGAUCAAGGGCCUUGGUGAGAUCUACCUAUUCUCCCUGCCUAUCGAGGACUCUGUGACCACUGACAUUCUCUUAAGAGCAUCUCUAAAGGAUGCUGUUCUAAAGAUCGUGCAGAUGUGGGCUGCAACGGUCAAGUUGGACUUAGUGUUAGGUCCUUCGAGGAGGUAACCAUAUUGGCCAAGAUUUUCAUGGUCGUUCUGCAGAGAGGUUACUGUAGGAAUAAAGAUUGGCAAGCCCCAUUCCCAUGAAAGGUGACAACCAUAGUGGUUCUGUGUCACCUGAGGCAUUAGCAUGAUCUCUGUUCCUGUGCCCAGGAAGCUUUGAUAGCCAGUAUUGAUGACUGAUACACACCAGCCAGGGGCUAUUCUGCCACUCUGGACAACUUCACCAAGGCCGACUCUAAAACCAUGUCCAAGACUUACAGCUACCCCCAACUUCUGGAAAGAGACUGUGGCCACCUUGUGAAAACUCACACCAGAGCUCCUUUAGAGGAUCCAGACUUCUGCUAUGGCUACCACAUAUAUUUUUUAUAGCAGAAAUCGAAGUAAGUCUGAGAAGAAAAGAAAUAGAAUGGAAGGGAGGGAGAGAGGGAGGGAGAAAAAUCUAACAAGUAUAUACUUGGACCAGAUCGUGUAUGUUCUGCAGUUUGGUUUUCCAGUCUGGACUUAAUUCACAGCUGUGCACCUCUGCCCUGGCAGCCCCACCCUGGCUGCAGGACGUCCUUUAAAAGCAUGAUGAUGUAAUGAGCUUGAGAUCCUGUAGACUGCCCACCUGGCUAAAUAGAACAUUCUAAAUAUGAAGAGACCGUUGCCAGUUAAGAGCCAAAGAGACCUCUGGCUAUCUUUCCAGGCUCCAUUUGCUAUCCACCUUCUAUCUGACUUCCUCAUAACCUUUAGAUAAAACUCUAGAAAUAAGCUUGACAAGGCUAGCCUCCAUUAACCCUAGAACUGAGGACAAAGAUAGUAUCUAAGUCGAUUUCCUUGCUUUGGUGUAGCCCAUAAACGUGAUGGCCCUAUCUAUGUACUUUGCAAACAAGUGGUCUGAUAACUUUCUUUUUGGUGACUAUAAAAGUUCAUGUAACCUUUCCAUGGUUCCUUUCAGAUCCUUUGAAUCCACAUUUUCUGACCUAUCACGGCUAUUUGUAAUUGGAUCAGAAUAAACUAUUAUUCCCUUAAGAAGAGUUGAUUUAUAUGGUGACAAAAAAAGAAACAAGCAGGUUUUGUACCCAGGGCUUGAUCGGGGUGCCAAACUCAUCCCUUCUGAGUGGCUUUGGGCAAGCCCCUAAGAUGUUUUUACUGUUGUGAUAGCUUUUAUCUUAUAGGGGUAAUUUAACAAUUAGCACAAUCACAAAUAUAUACAGUACCUUUGAACCAGCAUAAACACUUAUCUACUGUCAUCCCUCAGUAAAGAGGGAGUGUAGUUAUGAUGAGAUUUGUAUUUUAACAAGGGCUUCCUGCUGAAGAGAGACUUGAGGGGCUAAGAGCACCGACUGCUCUUUCAAAGAAUCUGGGCUGGAUUUCCAGUACCUGUGUGGUGGCUCACAACCAUCCAGGGGAUUCAAUGGUCUCUUCUGGCCUAUGUGGGCACCAGGUAUGCAGUAGUGCAGACAUACAUGCAGGCUUAUUUAUAUACUUAAAAAGAAUGGAAGUUUUUAGACUAGAAACAGAAAACCAGUGAGCAGUCACAGGGUGACCCAGGGUGAGAAGAACAGAGGUAUAAAGCAGGGAAUAGAUUCAAGAUCCAAGACACAGAUUCCAUAGGUCAACAGCCCCAUGAAAAGGCGACAGACAGACAGACACACACACACACAGACACACACACAGAGGAACAGACUGGCCUUGAAUUCCCAGUCCUCUCACCUCCACUGAGCCAGUGCUGGGAUUGCAAGCACGUACCACACAGGCUUUGAAGAGAGAUAACCUUCUGGCAUGGGUGCGGAAGACAACAAAACUUCAGAGCAAAAGACAGGAGGUCUACACCAUUGUCUCAUUGCUUAGACACAGGCAGCAGAAACUAAUUAGACUAUAGUAGAUACUUGCAAAAUCAAUAAAUGUGAAGUCAAUUUUAACAAUUAUUGCUAAGAAAAAGUUUGGUUAAAAGAACUUAAGCUGGGUAUCGUGCCAGGCGGCUGUUACUGCAGCCCUAGGGAAGUAGAAAGAGAAGGAACUGAAGUUCAGAGCCACCUUGGCUACAUAAUGGGUUAAGACCCAACAGAGAUACUAAGAACCCUUUGUACACUGAAGGACAGGGAAGAGGAAGGAAGGAAAAAGGAAGAAACCACAAUUCAAAGAGCUGGGUUUCUUUCAUUUCAUAAGGCAGAGGUGCUUGGGGGUUUGUUUGUUUUGUUGGGGUAUUUUUUGUUUUUUUGUUUUUUAGACAGAAUAGGCUGAAGAAAGCAAGAAGAAAACUCAGCUACCAUUUCAAAGUUACUUCCUCUGGAAGGAGGCAGGGAGGGUCACAACUGACACAUCUGGGGAAACUGGCCUGCCGGGGCAACUCGGCUGCUUUUUCUCAGGUCAGAUAAAUAACUCAGUGCCAUCGAACAUUAGUGCGACUGACUCCAUUUUGACGUCUCAGUGAACUGCUGGACCAAGCGACGUAGCUUAUUAGUUCACUGAGUUACAGAAGUGAGUCUCAUUCAUUCUCAUUCUCUCUCUCUCUCUCUCUCUCUCUCCUCCUCCUCUUCCUCUUUCUCCUCCUCCUCCCCCCCUUUUCUCCUUUGCAAUGUUGAGGAUAAACCCAGAGCCUGGUGCAUACUGGGCAGGUGUUCUGCCACUGAGCUACACCUCCAGCCCAGAGUCACAAUUCAUGCCUAAGGCAUGCAGUUCUUCCCACAAAAACAGUAAGAAUGAGUUAAGAAGUAACCAGUCCCCAAAUGUACCAGGUAGACACCCACCACACAAAUCUUUGGUUCUUAGUUAUUGGAGGUUUAAAAAAUAAAAAUAAAAAGCUACCACACACAGAGCACACCAGGCACAACCAUAACCUUCUGUAUUUCUGCUCUGCUAAGGCGAUGUGGAUAAACAGCCGAGUGGGUCAGGGGAGGCGGUAUUUAACUACCACUUGUUCUGAGUUUUUUGAUACAUAAGGGACAGAGGUUUACAAAGGAUUAAGUGGCAUAUGUGCAGACACGCACAGACAGAACGUGGGACAAGGAAGAUGGUGACUCUGAAGCAAGUUUCAAAUGCAAGCUAUUUCUGCCACCCAAUCAAUCCUUCAGGCACCCAUCUGGACAUCUGCCUAAGCAACUAUUCGCCUCCCUAUUGGAUGAAUCUUUAGAUCAGAGAGAAAACUGCACAGAAGGUAACCAGUUUGUCAAUAUUCCCUCAUGAACCCAUAAUUGUAGCACUUAAGGCUGAGGCAGGAGUUCAAGUAACAGUGGGCAAGUCUGAUGGUGGCAGCAAGUCUGAUGGUGGCAGCACAGACCAAGGAUACCAUACCAACCCCACUAUUCUCCAUGUAUCUACCCAGCCAUGGUCCCUCAGGAAAGACAAAUGGCAGUUUCACUAAGGAAUGCUCUUGAUGAACCAGAUGCGCUCUUCCACAGAAAACCAACUUUUCUCGAAAGAACCAACAGUGAUUACUCAGGCUUCAGUAUUUUGCAAAUAUUUUCUAAAACUGAACAACUGAGCUGUCCUGGUGCUACACACUGCCAAUCCCAGCCCUCAGGAGGAUGGGGCAAGGUGAUGGUCACAAGUCCAAGGCCGUGGACUGCGGCCACCAAAUCUGUCUCAAUAACAAAUAAAAAAACCCACUAAAAACCAAAA